GAUAAACGCUGGCGGCGUGCCUAAUACAUGCAAGUCGAACGGAGAAAUUUUGUAGCAAUACGAGGUUUCUUAGUGGCGAAUGGGUGAGUAACGCGUUGGUGACCUGCCCCAAAGAGGGGGAUAACAGCUCGAAAGGGCUGCUAAUACCCCAUGUGGUCGCAAGGGUUAGAGGCCUUGCGUCUAAAGGAGCAAUCCGCUUUGGGAGGGGCCUGCGUCCCAUCAGCUAGUUGGUAGGGUAAUGGCCUACCAAGGCUGCGACGGGUAGGGGGCCUGAGAGGGUGGCCCCCCA
This 289-nucleotide ribosomal RNA is filed under the name uncultured Chloroflexota bacterium. Its description in RNAcentral is "uncultured Chloroflexi bacterium partial 16S ribosomal RNA". It matches the Rfam family "Bacterial small subunit ribosomal RNA", at positions 28 to 310 of the family's 1533-position model. Lineage: Bacteria; Bacillati; Chloroflexota. The record is from RNAcentral.